RNAcentral lists this long non-coding RNA (1029 nucleotides) under Eucalyptus grandis. RNAcentral's name for it is "long non-coding RNA (EGRA_LNC000145)". The record is from RNAcentral. Lineage: Eukaryota; Viridiplantae; Streptophyta; Magnoliopsida; Myrtales; Myrtaceae.
ACACCCAGUUGAUAGGAAGGAAAUCAAAACGAUGAGCUUUUGCUACCCAGUCAGCAACCCGAUUAGAAUUCCUAUUACAGUGAGCUAAAGAGAGACCCGAAAUAGUCUUCAAUUUGUGCUUGGCCCAGUCCACAAGGGGAUCCACUAACCAAUUUAAAAUAGAGGACGACAGUACACUGUCCACUAGCAACCGACAGUCAGAUAAAAAAAUCAAUUCUUUUUCUGGGGACUUUGGGAUUAGGGUUGAAGAGAUAAAAUCUAGGGUUUCAACCAAAGCGACGGCCUCGGCUUGCUCAGCCGAGCUUACCUCAAUAUGUUUUGCAAAGCCAUCUCGAAUCAUCCCAAAAGAAUCUCUGCAGACACAAGCAAUAGCAGCCCGAGGUCUUGAUCUUGGAUGCUGAAGACCAAAAGGAGCAGAUCUGGUCUGCGAGGAGUUGAAGCCUACUGUCGUUCUCUCUCCACAUGGGGUGUGGCCCAUUGCCGAGGGUAAAGGUCUGCUUGAGGCUCGAUGCGAGGGACGAGGUCUGGGAUGCGGGGAUUCGCCUGCUUCACCAACCCAGACGCGUGGAUCCAUCCUGCCUUCUUCCCUCUCUUCCAAUUCAUAAUGCCUUCCAUGGUGAGGGUCGGCAAUGGUACUAAGCUGUUGUUGCUGUGGUGGGUAUUCAGAUCUGGUAGAUCUGAGGUUUCCUUCUUCGGUUUCAGAGGCAGCAGACGUGCCGAGAGUCAGAGGAAAGUCCUCUGAUUCUUCUGAAUCGCAAGGCUUGCCAUGGUGAGCGUCUUUCUUGGGUCUUCCGAGCUGCAGAGUCAAACGCAAAGCGAACUAGUCACGGGCUGGAUCCAUAUGACACGGCCCAACAGAUGGACGCAUUUUAGAAGUUUCUCAAGCACUGGGCGUGACGAGCAAAUGACCCUUGAGCUUCCCAAAACCCUAGGCCCUCUUGAGUGAUAUUGUACAACUAUGUAAUGAUUAGGGAAUAUUUAAACCCCACCGUUAGAUCUAAGAAGAGAUCUAUGGCUGAGAUUGGCCCC